Molecule: ribosomal RNA, 492 nt
Filed under: uncultured bacterium
Lineage: Bacteria
Description: partial 16S ribosomal RNA
Rfam family: Bacterial small subunit ribosomal RNA
Source: RNAcentral
AGUGAACGCUGGCGGUAGGCCUAACACAUGCAAGUCGAACGGCAGCACAGUAAGAGCUUGCUCUUACGGGUGGCGAGUGGCGGACGGGUGAGGAAUACAUCGGAAUCUACUUUUUCGUGGGGGAUAACGUAGGGAAACUUACGCUAAUACCGCAUACGACCUACGGGUGAAAGCAGGGGAUCUUCGGACCUUGCGCGAUUGAAUGAGCCGAUGUCGGAUUAGCUAGUUGGCGGGGUAAAGGCCCACCAAGGCGACGAUCCGUAGCUGGUCUGAGAGGAUGAUCAGCCAAACUGGAAACGAGAAACGGUCCCAACUCCCAAGGGAGGCAGCAGUGGGGAAUAUUGGACAAUGGGGGCAAGGCCUAUCCAGCCAUACCGCGUGGGUGAAGGAGGCCUUUGGGUUGGAAAGGCCUUUUGGUGGGAAAGAAAAGCCAGCGGCCAAAAACCCGGCGUUUUGAAGGUAACCAAAGAAUAAGCACCGGCUAACUUCGUG